Molecule: long non-coding RNA, 4071 nt
Organism: Dermochelys coriacea (leatherback sea turtle)
Lineage: Eukaryota; Metazoa; Chordata; Testudines; Dermochelyidae
Exons: 3
Source: RefSeq, a predicted model, not a curated record
GCUCAAAUAAAUUUGUUAGUCUCUAAGGUGCCACAAGUCCUCCUUUUCUGUAGUUUGAUGUAUAAUUUUUUGGCCCGCUAGGUGGCAGUGUAUGAAAGCUAUAUAGCUUUUCAUUUAUGGACCUUCCCAAGAGUCAGCAAGAGCUGUUCUAAGGCUCCUUUUCCGUUGCUCUUCACUGCCAUAGUAUGAUACAGCACAAACCCCAUUGCUAACUGCACUGCAGUCAGUCCUAAGCACUAAGCUAACCUAGCACACGGGAAUACUUGCUCCUUUUCGGGGGUGAGGCAGGGCAGAAAUUGGAAAGAAGGCCGAGUCUGUGUGCAAAUGGUAUUGUUUUGACAUUAUGGCAUAUGGCACAGUAAGAAAUUUCAAAAAGGACACCCACAGCAGAUGCUCCAGUAGCGUCAAAGGCAGAGAGCUGGCAAGAAACAGCCAUGCCUUGAGCAAAACUAUUGGUUGUCUGUCAUUGCUGCGCAGGCCAGAGAUCUGCGAACACCAGCACCAACCCAUGCUGCGUUUCAUGCCUCAUCGGCCACAAUAACACGUGUUGAUAGUGUGCCUUAUUUGACUAACUUACCUUUGACUCUGCUCUGGCCCUCGUCACUCCAAUAGCUGGGCACUUCACAAACUAUCGAUCCCCAUGUAACAGGGAAACUGAGGCGCAGAGGUGAAGUGACUUGCCUACGGUUACACAGUGAGUCUCUGGCAGUGCCAGGAAUUGAACUGAUCCCAGUGCCUCUGACUCUAACUCCACAGCUGCUGUGUACAACCAUCCUUCCGCUCUUUAAAAAAAAUCCCCAACCGCUUUAUAAACUCAUGACCCUCCAAUGAAACAGCUGCUGGCUAACGUGGCCCAGCAGCACUUCAGCACAGGUUAGUACAGGCAGUGAAGAAUACUGUAAGUAAUUGAAAUAUCCAGAGGGACAGCGGUCAAUGGAAUGAAUAUCCACCGUGGAUACUGGCCAAGACAGUGGGUUAAUGCCUGGACUGUUACAAAUAAGACCAUUUGGAUUUUUAAUGACCACAAGCGGUAAAGAAAAGAUCAGCAGCACAGCCGCCACUGUGCCUGGUCGUUUAGACAAAUUCAGAUAGGAAACCAGGCUAACUAACCACUGGAACAACUUCUCGAGGGCUUUGAUGGAGUUUCCAUCACUGGAUAUUUGUAAAUGAAGAUUGGAUGUAUUUUCUUUAGAUGGUACGCUCUAGUUCAACCCCAGCUACUGGACUUCAAGCAGGAAUCCACACAGGGAGGCCAUAGGACUUCCCUGAAUUACACAGGAAGUUGGACUCAAUCACAGUGGUCCCUUCUGGCCUUAAAAAUCUAUGGACAGACCGUUUUAUAAAAUGUUCCCUGUCACUCAAAAGGGUAGAAGCCACACAUCCCUAUUCUAGCUCCCAAACACAUACAAGAUUAAAUGGGCACCUCCCACAUUGCUAUACAAGUGCGUGUGUGCGGGGGGUGCGGUGACUAAAAGACCCCGGGAUGUGGCCUCCAUGGAUCUACUCCUGUGAGUCCCAAUCUUUUCUUGGGGAGGGGUGGGGAGCAGGGGGGCUUGGACUUUGGGCAGUGUCCAGGGGGCCCCCAUGUGCUGUGACUACUUUUUCCUCUCUUUCUUUGCGCCCCACCCCCAUUUUUGCUUCCUGUUCCCUUCCUGUUGCUCCCCUCACUCCCUGGCAGGCUACAUGCUGCUUGGCAUUGGGGCAUCAAUUGUUGGCUCAGGGACGUGCUCUCAGAGCUGAGCUUUGCUGGGGAAGCGGAUGCACGAGGCAUGGCCCAGCAACCUACUCCCUGCGCUGGUAGCCCCGGGUGCGAGAGUUGCUGCCAUGACUGCAUUCCAGCUAGCGUGGGUCAAAAAGCACAAUUUCCAUGCUGUGAAAUUCCAACACUUCAUAACGUUAUUUUGUCCCACACUGGGACACAAAAUCCAAACUUUGAAAUUUCCAACAGAAAUUGAGUUUUGAAAAUAUCGAAAGGACUUUGUUAGAGUGCUGUAUUUUAAUGUUUUGACUUUUAUCUGUAUAUUAUCUGCCUUAUAAAAUCAAAACACCACAGUGCUUGGACCGAGUCUAAAGGAAAUGUUUCAAUUAUAUUUUAUCAACAAAAGGGACAAGCUGUACAUUUGCCAUGAAAUAUUUCCAUUUUAUGGAAUCAGCAUAUUGUUCAGUUGGAAAAUUUUCAACCAACUGUAGUUCCAGUUGCCCCAUUAGGGCGUUCCUGCCAUGGGGGCAGGGAGGGAAGGCAAGUUGCAAAGAGCUAUCCAGAUUAGCAUCUGUGCAGUGGGGAGUGAAGGUGGAUCCAGGGUGAUGCAGCUUUCCCCUCCCCAUACACUGCUAGUCUCUUCUGUCCUGAGCCUCCCAUGGACUAGUCUGAUGCUCCCGCUUAGCCCAUAGAUCAGUAAUCCCCAUGCCAUUUUGCUUAGCCUAAUUUUUCAGUAUGCCGGUGGGUCUCAUGGGAUAGACUUACUCUGCUGUGUUUGUAUUUUCCUUGCUGCCUAUAGUGCUCAGCCCGUUGUACUGAAUGACAGCCAAACGUGAACUCAAAAUAUGAAGUUGAUUAGGAGGCAUUUAAAGUUAAGGUGGCUCUGUAGUAUCCAGCCUAGAGCUUGGUUAUUUUGUCCUAUGUGGCCCCAUCAUGUGUCUCUCAGCUUCCUCAUUGCUCUUCUUGGCCAGCUCCUUGCUGCAUUGAAGAGUUGAAGCCGAGCCAUGUAUUCCCCUGCAACUUAAUUUUAGGUUUGCCCACUUUGUCCAGGAAUGUAAUUAUGACUUUUGAAUUACAUUAGCAGCUUGCACAGAGUAAUUAAUUAGUCAGAUUUAUAAGGUGCUUGGUUCAUAAUGAUAUAUGGCCCUGCUUGGGUAAGUGGCACCUCAAAUUGGCUGUAAAAAUCUUAUUUCUAAGGUCAAGUUUUUACUGCAGGGGAUUUAUAAAGCUAUGAGCCUUUGUACUUAUGAGCUAUUUGUACUUAGGUUAGCUCAGCUACCAUUGAAUGUCUGCACACAUUCAGCUAUUGCCUACAGCAGCAGCCAGAUACCUGUUACGGACAGACACAAGGUGUGUUGGCUUUGAGCUAGUUUUGCAUGAAUGAUUUGGUCUGGGCCAUCACCUCAAAUCAAUGAGGUCCAGGAAGAGAGGUCGGAAUACUUUUGGUUUCCUUCCUGGUUGACUGUGCUAGUGCAGGAGAAGCCAAGCAGCAAAGGAUGUUAGCUCUUCCUUCUGUUCAUCACUACAAUUAUUCCAUCCAGCAGAGAACCUUUACAACAGCUGCGACAUGCCUAAGCUAAAAUCCCCAACUGCUACUGCUCUGUUCUAGGCAUUUCAUGGCUUCCUCUUCCCAAGGUAGAGGAACAAAAACCCCAAACAGGGUUGUGUGUCCUUCCAUGCUAGGUUGUGGCUUUGUCUGAACAAUAAAACAUUGCAUAGGUGGGUGGCCUGAGCCCUUGCUCGCUGGCCCCAGUGCUAGUCUUGCAACUCUAUCUGCUGCUCUGGGAGUCUAUGCUAAGCCAGGCCAUGUGAGGUGCUAUGCAUGUAGGUGGAUCUCUUCCCACCAGGUUGCUGCCGACCUGCUGGUGCUGCUGGUAGUGCGUGUUCCUUUGCUGGAAGCAAGUUGGGAUGAAGGUGCAUUUGUUUUACUUUCAUUUGGCUGAGUGGGGUGUUGCCCCCAAUGGCAAGACUACCCAGGCUUUGGAGCACUGUUGGUGUGAGGCACCCAAGACUCAUGUGCCGGGAGCAGGGACUUACACGGGAUCCCAGCAGCAAAAAAUGAUUCCAGCUCCUACAGUGUCCAACAGAUGUACAAGUGUCUGAUCCAAUCAUGCAGCAAGAGAUUUUGGGGGCAAGCCUUCCAGUUUUGUCAGUAUGGCAGCGCAAAGAAGCCAUAAAUUUUACAAACAAGAAUAAACGAUCCUUAGCAACAUAUGUCUACGCUGACAGUUCCAAGAGAGCUUUCAAUCACACCUGCCACUGCUCUGAGCAUUCAACUGUGUUUGUAAAGAUGGUAUUGUUUUUCUGAAGCUUUUGAAGCCUCCUAGCUCACAACCUAGCCUGAGUCAAACACAAUGUGAAGCAGUUUCAAA